Molecule: ribosomal RNA, 675 nt
Filed under: uncultured archaeon
Lineage: Archaea
Description: bacterial SSU rRNA
Rfam family: Archaeal small subunit ribosomal RNA
Source: RNAcentral
GCGAGUCGAGCGUCUCUAGCUAUGUUGAGACGCGGCAGACGGCUCAGUAACACGUGGCUAACCUACCCUCAGGACAAGGAUAAACCCGGGAAACUGGGGCUAAUACUUGAUAGGCGAAUAUUCCUGGAAUGGUUCUUCACCUAAAGGGCUUUAGAAACAUGCUUCUAAAGUCGCCUGAGGAUGGGGCCGCGUCCGAUCAGGUUGUUGGUGAGGUAAUGGCUCACCAAGCCUAUAACCGGUACGGGCCGUGAGAGCGGUAGCCCGGAGAUGGGUACUGAGACAAGGACCCAGGCCCUACGGGGCGCAGCAGUCGCGAAAACUCCGCAAUGCACGAAAGUGUGACGGGGCUACCCCGAGUGCCAUCCGCUGAGGAUGGCUUUUCUUUGGUAUAACUAGCCAUGGGAAUAAGGAGAGGGCAAGACUGGUGUCAGCCGCCGCGGUAAUACCAGCUCUCCGAGUUGUAAGGAUGAUUAUUGGGCUUAAAGCGUCCGUAGCCGGCUUGGCAAGUCUCCUGUUAAAUUCAGCGACCUAAUCGUUGACCCGCGGGAGAUACUACUAGGCUAGGAGGCGGGAGAGGUCGACGGUACUCCUGGGGUAGGGGUGAAAUCCUAUAAUCCCGGGAGGACCACCAGUGGCGAAGGCUGUCGACUAGAACGCGCUCGACGGUGAGGGACG